This 364-nucleotide unclassified non-coding RNA is filed under the name soil metagenome. Its description in RNAcentral is "partial contains 5.8S ribosomal RNA, internal transcribed spacer 2, and large subunit ribosomal RNA". The stretch from base 1 to 122 matches the Rfam family "5.8S ribosomal RNA", at positions 35 to 154 of the family's 154-position model. The record is from RNAcentral.
GAUGAAGAACGCAGCGAAAUGCGAUACGUAAUGUGAAUUGCAGAUCUCUCAGUGAACCAUCGAAUCUUUGAACGCACAUUGCGCCCGCCAGCAUUCUGGCGGGCAUGCCUGUCCGAGCGUCAUUUCAACCCUCAGGGUCCCUCCGCCUCGCGCGGUCGGAGCCUGGUGUUGGGGAUCGGCCCGCCCCGCGCGGCGCCGUCCCCCAAAUACAGUGGCGGUCCCGCCGCAGCCUCCCCUGCGCAGUAGUUAUCAACUCGCACUGGAGCGCGGCGCGGCCACGCCGUAAAACCCCCGACUUUUAGAAAGUUGACCUCGGAUCAGGUAGGAAUACCCGCUGAACUUAAGCAUAUCAAUAAGCGGAGGA